Molecule: long non-coding RNA, 1421 nt
Filed under: Gallus gallus (chicken)
Lineage: Eukaryota; Metazoa; Chordata; Aves; Galliformes; Phasianidae
Description: lncRNA (ENSGALG00010027034.1)
Source: RNAcentral
CGAGGGGCCCGGCCCGGCCCGGCCGCACCGCUCCGCAGCCCCACCGCGGGGUGAGCUUUCCCUUUUCUUUCUUUUUUUUUUGUCUCUUUUUUUUCCCCCCCCCCAUCCCUCUCCCGGAGCCGAAGAACCGCAGUGCGGUUUGGAAGCAGAGGGAUCAGGACAGCCAAGGCAUUGACAUGGGCUCUGAAGAACCUGUUGGCUGAAAAUAAUCCAAUUUAUAUUUACUGCAAGUCUAGUGUUACAAUGAACUCAGUCCAUCAAAUUACUUCUCAUCUCCAGCAGGGUGCCUUUUCUCUUGGUUAGAGGGAAUAUGAAGGGCAAAAAGAUUUCCAAAGAAGGAGGGUCUGGUAAUUCUCAACAGUGCAAAUUAGUUCUCAGCAUCUUCAAGAUGGAAAAAACACAGUUCUGCUGGAACAGGGCAAAGGUACCCGCAAAUCUUCUCAGAAAGAAGGACCAUGUAAAAAUCUACUUGGGAGCUUCCAAGUCUGUGCAGAACAAACAGCUCAGAAACGUGCUCUUUUGGUCCAGAGUCACCUCCACCAUUCUAUACAUACAAAGGUCACUUGUGUGCCUAUUGCCACAAAAGCAGAUCCUUCUAAGCAGCCCACAGACUUAAAAAUAGUAUCUAUAGAAAGUCAGUACUGCAAAGCUUGCCAGACCUGUUCCAUUUUUUUUUGCAGCUUAAUACUGAAACACAGUGGAAACAGGUCAUAGGGUCUCUAAAGAAAGGCUCCCACCAAACAGCUAUUGAACACUAAGGACAACCAACCUCUGCUUUGAAAAACUUUUUGACUGCUUUCUUAUCCCCAAGCUGCAAUAGGAAAAUAAAAGUGGCAGAAAACUAGUGGCCUCACAGUAACACCACAGCAGGUACAGGGAUACAAAAAACCCACAACGUUCCUGUAUUUGUGAACAGAAUUAUUUCCACUCUCCAUCUCCCAGAUCACUUUUCAAUUUGUGACCCGAUGGUGCCCAGCUGCUAUUAACCACCUACCUGACAUAACAGCAAUAAAUGGCCUGGAAAAACAAGUGGCUUAACCCAUCUCUACUUCGAAGAGCUCAGUAAUGACUACUAAUUGCUCCUCCUCAUUCAAAGCUACUCAGUCUACAUGGAGCUACAGCAACUACAUGCACUGAAGCUCUGCAUAGAGUGAGAAAUAACCUUAAACAGCACCAGGGAAGGUUCAGGUUGGAUAUUAGGAACAAUGUCUUCUCAGAAGGAGUGGCGAUGCAUUGACACAGACUGCCUAGGGAUGAGGUGGAGUCACCGUUCCAGGAGAUGUUUGAGAACCAUGGGGCUGUGGGACUGAGGGACAUGGUCAGAAGACAUGGGGGGGACAGGUUGGGGCUGGACUGGUGGAUGAGGUCUUUUCCAAUUUUAAUGAUUUUAUGAUAAAACGAGAAAUGGCAGUAGAAUAAAG